RNAcentral lists this ribosomal RNA (439 nucleotides) under uncultured bacterium. RNAcentral describes it as "partial 16S ribosomal RNA". It matches the Rfam family "Bacterial small subunit ribosomal RNA", at positions 339 to 795 of the family's 1533-position model. The record is from RNAcentral.
CUACGGGGCGCUCCAGUGAGGAAUAUUGCACAAUGGGGGGAACCCUGAUGCAGCAACGCCGCGUGGAGGAUGACGCAUUUCGGUGUGUAAACUCCUUUUAUAUGUCAAGAAAAUGACGGUAGCAUAUGAAUAAGCACCGGCUAACUCCGUGCCAGCAGCCGCGGUAAUACGGAGGGUGCAAGCGUUACUCGGAAUCACUGGGCGUAAAGGGAGCGUAGGCGGGUUGGAAAGUCAGGUGUGAAAUCCUACAGCUUAACUGUAGAACUGCACUUGAAACUUCUAAUCUAGAGGAUGGGAGGGGGAGAUGGAAUUAGUGGUGUAGGGGUAAAAUCCGGAGAUAUCACUAGGAAUACCUAAAGCGAAGGCGAUCUCCUGGAACAUUACUGACGCUAAGGCGUGAAAGCGUGGGGAGCAAACAGGAUUAGAUACCCCGGUAGUC